This 484-nucleotide ribosomal RNA is filed under the name uncultured bacterium. Its description in RNAcentral is "partial 16S ribosomal RNA". It matches the Rfam family "Bacterial small subunit ribosomal RNA", at positions 30 to 507 of the family's 1533-position model. The record is from RNAcentral.
AUUGAACGCCGGCGGCAGGCCUAACACAUGCAAGUCGAGCGGAUGAAGGGAGCUUGCUCCUGGAUUCAGCGGCGGACGGGUGAGUAAUGCCUAGGAAUCUGCCUGGUAGUGGGGGAUAACGUCCGGAAACGGGCGCUAAUACCGCAUACGUCCUGAGGGAGAAAGUGGGGGAUCUUCGGACCUCACGCUAUCAGAUGAGCCUAGGUCGGAUUAGCUAGUUGGUGGGGUAAAGGCCUACCAAGGCGACGAUCCGUAACUGGUCUGAGAGGAUGAUCAGUCACACCGGAACUGAGACACGGUCCAGACUCCUACGGGAGGCAGCAGUGGGGAAUAUUGGACAAUGGGCGAAAGCCUGAUCCAGCCAUGCCGCGUGUGUGAAGAAGGUCUUCGGAUUGUAAAGCACUUUAAGUUGGGAGGAAGGGCAGUAAGUUAAUACCUUGCUGUUUUGACGUUACCAACAGAAUAAGCACCGGCUAACUUCGUG